This 928-nucleotide long non-coding RNA is filed under the name Homo sapiens (human). RNAcentral describes it as "HSALNT0370646". The record is from RNAcentral. Lineage: Eukaryota; Metazoa; Chordata; Mammalia; Primates; Hominidae.
ACCUCCCGAGCUGGCUUGCAGUAAUAAAUGGAACCUGCUUCAGGUGCAGAAAGCUGGGAGGGGUCGAGGGGAGGAAUGCACAGGCUGAUUUACACCUGUCCCUACAGCUGCUAUCGACAACACUUACAGCCUCCAGAAAUGACCCUUGGUGCCGACUUGUCUGGAAGCCAUCAGGGUUAGUUUUGAAGCAGGAAUCUUCAAGUGGACCAGAGGGUUGUCUUCUGCUCCUGAUCUGGUUGGCUGGAGACACUUAGAAGCUAUGGCCUUUCACCUGUAAGAGUUUCAAUUUGCUUCAAGGAAUGAAGUAACAGCUGUGAAAGUUCUUUGUGAACCAUGAAGCAAUCCUGAUGUGUUGAUUUUUUUUUUCUCACUUCUUUCGUUAUUGGGUUAAGGACAGGAAUUGAGACAGGGUCUCUCUUUGUUGCCUAGGCUGGAGUGCAGUGGAACGAACUUGGCUUAUUGAAGCAUUGACCACCUGGACCCAAGUGAUUCUCCUACCUUAGCCUCUUGAAUAGCUGUGACAACAGGUGUGCACUACCACACCCAGAUAAAUUUUGUAAUUUUUAUAGAGAGGGCAUUUGACCAUGUUGCCCAGGCUGGUCUCAAACUCCUGAGCUCAAGUGAUACUCCUGCCUCGGCCUCCCAAAGUGCUGGGAUUACAGAUGAAGAAAAUGAGGCACUGAGAGAUUACAUAACUUCCCUUGAGUCAUAUUUGCUUGUAAGUGGUAAGGCUGGAUGUUGAACCCAGGACAAAGGGAGCCCAGUGGAGGAUCCCUGGAGGAGCAAAUAGAAGAAACCCAAAAGGGACUUGAAAGCGGGUCCCCUCCCUCACCUGGAUUCCCAGUCCGAAGAGGAGGAAGCAUCCGCCCUCCUUCCCUCCUUCUGACCCACCCAGCCACCCACCCAAGGUGCCAUUAAAGUUAAUUGU